AUUUCAAAAAUGAUUUCAAAAUUUAUUUAUUUUAUUUCAAUUUAAUUUGUUUUAUUUAAAAAGAAUUCUUUUGUAGAAUAUUGCAAUUUAUUUCACAUUUAUUGUUGUUGUUCUUUUUCAAAUCACUGCAUUUAUUUCACAUUUCCUACACAUUCACACAAUUUGCAGAAAAUUUAAUAUGUUAACCAAGCAACUCAAUUUGCAUUGCACAUUUCAGGCGCCAUAAAGUGCCUAAUAGUUGAAUGCCAUCAAAGUCGAAACGGUUGCAAAACAUUUGUCAUGACACUGUCACAGACACUUGGUCCAAGUCUAGGCAGGCACUGGACACACUUGCAACUGUCGAAACCACAUUGACCGCAAAUGGGACAAAAGUUCGAAAACCACAAAUUUCUUUGACCGGCUAUAUGGAUAUUGCAUAUAUUGAAAUGUUAUAGCAGGUGUAAGAAUUGAACACAAAUUGAGCAAUUGACAACAGAGUGCAGACACUUAAAGGAGAGAAUAUUAAGCGCACUUUAAACGAAAAGUACGCAGCAAACCUUAAAGUAUAAAUUGGUUUUAUGCAAAGUUUCUAAGCAUAGCGCCAAAAUGUUGACAGUCACAGAAACAAUACCGAAAUAAAAACAUAAGAAUAUAAAAAUUA
Molecule: long non-coding RNA, 640 nt
Organism: Drosophila nasuta
Lineage: Eukaryota; Metazoa; Arthropoda; Insecta; Diptera; Drosophilidae
Exons: 2
Source: RefSeq, a predicted model, not a curated record